Long non-coding RNA from Macadamia integrifolia, 1231 nucleotides. RefSeq lists it as uncharacterized. The record is from RefSeq and is a predicted model, not a curated record. Lineage: Eukaryota; Viridiplantae; Streptophyta; Magnoliopsida; Proteales; Proteaceae. The transcript has 2 exons.
CUCACAUACUAAAUGUGUUAUACCUUUAUCUUCCACUACAUCAGUAUCCCUUUUAUCUCUCUUUAAAUAUUUAGGAAUCUGUAAUCUGUUACUCUUUCAAUUAUUUCUUCCAAAGGUUAUCAGCUCUAUCAUUUGUCUUUUACAUCUUUAAAGGUCCUUGGAGCAAAAUGGCCAAUGGUCAAAUGUUGUGGAAUUACCCUUGGACAAAUAAACCCAGUGCCAUUUGACCGAGAAGAGUUGGUUAGACUGAUCCAAAAUCAAAUCAACCCUCUGUGUAAGACCUAGAUCGACAAACCAGAGAUGUACAUCCAGUGUUGGAGUUCAAGCAUCCAACAUGAUUUUACUUUCGAAUUGCCUCUUUGGAGAGAAAGCGUUGGACAAUUCCAGAUGGAGAAUCUCAUCUCGUGAAGAAGUGGAUCCUUUGUAACAACAAACCCUAUCAUUUAGAUUCCAGAUCGACAACUUCAUCCACUGCCAAUGCCGUAGAAGAAGCCUCUCUUUCAGAUUUAUCUCACCGAUAGCAAACCCUCUCCUUUAGAUUCAUCUCACUGAUCGCCCAGAAAAUCCUUUAUUUUUUUCUUUCAGUUUCAUCUCAAGAUCGCAACGCCAAACCCCCUCCUUUGAUUAUUUUGAUCAGAUUCCUUCUUAUAGAAACCUAGCCAUCGUAUCACCUUCAAUCUUGUUGUAAUGGGUUGUGGUUCUUAAAUAAAAGCUACUCUAUUGUGCAGAGAAAGGGAGAAGUCGUUAAAAAAAAAAAAAACAUUGUGCAAAUUCUGUGCACAGUGCAAAGAGCCAAAGAGUCCCACUGAUUUGGUUACACGUCAGCUGACAGAAAAACCUGCAAAACAGGGAUUGUCUAAUAACUUCCCCACCCUAUUAACCAAACAUCUCAAAAUUCUAAAUUUUUGAGAGAAUUCUUACAAUUAUCCCACCCCAUGAGAACCGCUAUUUGGAGUGAUGUUGGUGGACAAGAAUCCGUUCCCAACAAUCAACGUGGUAAACGCUUUUGACUGGGCAAAACUUUUGGCAAUGUUGCGGCCAGCAACCAAAGAAAAGAAGGCCGCCCCAUGGCUUUUGUCAACCCGAUCGACGUUGGCCAAAUUAGAAGACAUAUGGAUGGCAGGCCCAUUGGAUCUCUAAUCGCAGUACCUCAACAAAUUUUCCAUGAUGCAGGUGGUAAAGUAUUUUUUCUUUCAUAAAGCAUUCCCUACAUCUGAUUGCAAUUGAUUUU